AUUCCAGCUCCAAUAGCGUAUAUUAAAGUUGUUGCAGUUAAAAAGCUCGUAGUUGGAUCUGGGGUUCGGGUCGGCGGUUUGCCGCUUCGGCGGCUACUGCCGUGCUCGACUCUUACUAGCCGGUGCGUCUUGCGGUGCUCUUCAUCGAGUGCCGUAGGAGCCUGGCAUGUUUACUUUGAAAAAAUUAGAGUGCUCAAAGCAGGCGAUUCCGCCUGAAUAGUGUUGCAUGGAAUAAUGGAAUAGGACCUCGGUUCUAUUUUGUUGGUUUUCGGAACUUGAGGUAAUGAUUAAGAGGGACGGUCGGGGGCAUUCGUAUUUCGGUGUUAGAGGUGAAAUUCUUGGAUCGCUGAAAGACGGACAAAUGCGAAAGCAUCUGCCAAGAACGUCUCCAUUAAUCAAGAACGAAAGUCAGAGGUUCGAAGACGAUCAGACACCGUCCUAGUUCUGACCAUAAACGAUGCCAACUAGCGAUCCGCAGUGGUUGCUAUAAACGGACUCUGCGAGCAGCUUCCGGGAAACCAAAGUGUUUGGGUUCCGGGGGAAGUAUGGUUGCAAAGCUGAAACUUAAAGGAAUUGACGGAAGGGCACCACCAGGAGUGGAGCCUGCGGCUUAAUUUGACCCAACACGGGGAAACUCACCCGGUCCGGACACUGUAAGGAUUGACAGAUCGAGAGCUCUUUCUUGAUCCGGUGGAUGGUGGUGCAUGGCCGUUCUUAGUUGGUGGAGUGAUUUGUCUGGUUAAUUCCGAUAACGAACGAGACUCUAGCCUGCUAACUAGUUGCGCCGUGUUCAUACGCGGCUGUAGACUUCUUAGAGGGACAGGUGGCGUUUAGCCACACGAAAUUGAGCAAUAACAGGUCUGUGGUGCCCUUAGAUGUCCGGGGCCGCACGCGCGCUACACUGAAGGAGUCAGCGUGUUCUAUCCGGGCUCGGAAGAGUUCGGUAACCCGUUGAAACUCCUUCGUGCUUGGGAUUGUGGCUUGUAAUUAUCGCGCAUGAACGAGGAAUUCCCAGUAAGUGCAAGUCAUCAGCUUGCGCUGACUACGUCCCUGCCCUUUGUACACACCGCCCGUCGCUACUACCGAUUGAAUGGUUUAGCAAGGUACUCGGAUUGGUCUCGAUCUUGUACGAAAGUGCGGGAUCUGUGGCCGAGAAGAAGGCCAAACUUGAUCAUUUAGAGGAAGUAAA
RNAcentral lists this ribosomal RNA (1189 nucleotides) under metagenome. RNAcentral describes it as "SSU rRNA". It matches the Rfam family "Eukaryotic small subunit ribosomal RNA", at positions 582 to 1786 of the family's 1831-position model. The record is from RNAcentral.